RNAcentral lists this ribosomal RNA (475 nucleotides) under uncultured organism. Its description in RNAcentral is "partial 16S ribosomal RNA". It matches the Rfam family "Bacterial small subunit ribosomal RNA", at positions 332 to 798 of the family's 1533-position model. The record is from RNAcentral.
UACACUCCUACGGGAGGCAGCAGUGGGGAAUUUUGGACAAUGGGCGAAAGCCUGAUCCAGCAAUGCCGCGUGAGUGAAGAAGGCCUUCGGGUUGUAAAGCUCUUUUGUCAGGGAAGAAACGGUGAAAGCUAAUAUCUUUUGCUAAUGACGGUACCUGAAGAAUAAGCACCGGCUAACUACGUGCCAGCAGCCGCGGUAAUACGUAGGGUGCAAGCGUUAAUCGGAAUUACUGGGCGUAAAGCGUGCGCAGGCGGUUUUGUAAGUCUGAUGUGAAAUCCCCGGGCUCAACCUGGGAAUUGCAUUGGAGACUGCAAGGCUAGAAUCUGGCAGAGGGGGGUAGAAUUCCACGUGUAGCAGUGAAAUGCGUAGAUAUGUGGAGGAACACCGAUGGCGAAGGCAGCCCCCUGGGUCAAGAUUGACGCUCAUGCACGAAAGCGUGGGGAGCAAACAGGAUUAGAUACCCGGGUAGUCCCAU